RNAcentral lists this ribosomal RNA (465 nucleotides) under uncultured bacterium. Its description in RNAcentral is "partial 16S ribosomal RNA". It matches the Rfam family "Bacterial small subunit ribosomal RNA", at positions 28 to 507 of the family's 1533-position model. The record is from RNAcentral.
GACGAACGCUGGCGGCGUGCUUAACACAUGCAAGUCGAACGGAAAGGCCCCUUUGGGGGUACUCGAGUGGCGAACGGGUGAGUAACACGUGAGUAACCUGCCCUUGACUUCGGGAUAACUUCAGGAAACUGGGGCUAAUACCGGAUAGGAAUCCUUGCUGCAUGGUGGGGGUUGGAAAGCUUCGGCGGUUUUGGAUGGACUCGCGGCUUAUCAGCUUGUUGGUGGGGUAGUGGCUUACCAAGGCUUUGACGGGUAGCCGGCCUGAGAGGGCGACCGGCCACAUUGGGACUGAGAUACGGCCCAGACUCCUACGGGAGGCAGCAGUGGGGAAUAUUGCACAAUGGGCGGAAGCCUGAUGCAGCAACGCCGCGUGCGGGAUGACGGCCUUCGAGUUGUAAACCGCUUUCAGCAGGGGCGAAGCUUGUGGUGACGGUACCUGCAGAAGAAGCACCGGCUAACUACGUG